RNAcentral lists this ribosomal RNA (1075 nucleotides) under Acinetobacter baumannii Naval-57. RNAcentral describes it as "bacterial SSU rRNA". It matches the Rfam family "Bacterial small subunit ribosomal RNA", at positions 8 to 1078 of the family's 1533-position model. The record is from RNAcentral. Lineage: Bacteria; Pseudomonadati; Pseudomonadota; Gammaproteobacteria; Moraxellales; Moraxellaceae.
AGAGUUUGAUCAUGGCUCAGAUUGAACGCUGGCGGCAGGCUUAACACAUGCAAGUCGAGCGGGGGAAGGUAGCUUGCUACCGGACCUAGCGGCGGACGGGUGAGUAAUGCUUAGGAAUCUGCCUAUUAGUGGGGGACAACAUCUCGAAAGGGAUGCUAAUACCGCAUACGUCCUACGGGAGAAAGCAGGGGAUCUUCGGACCUUGCGCUAAUAGAUGAGCCUAAGUCGGAUUAGCUAGUUGGUGGGGUAAAGGCCUACCAAGGCGACGAUCUGUAGCGGGUCUGAGAGGAUGAUCCGCCACACUGGGACUGAGACACGGCCCAGACUCCUACGGGAGGCAGCAGUGGGGAAUAUUGGACAAUGGGGGGAACCCUGAUCCAGCCAUGCCGCGUGUGUGAAGAAGGCCUUAUGGUUGUAAAGCACUUUAAGCGAGGAGGAGGCUACUUUAGUUAAUACCUAGAGAUAGUGGACGUUACUCGCAGAAUAAGCACCGGCUAACUCUGUGCCAGCAGCCGCGGUAAUACAGAGGGUGCGAGCGUUAAUCGGAUUUACUGGGCGUAAAGCGUGCGUAGGCGGCUUAUUAAGUCGGAUGUGAAAUCCCCGAGCUUAACUUGGGAAUUGCAUUCGAUACUGGUGGCUAGAGUAUGGGAGAGGAUGGUAGAAUUCCAGGUGUAGCGGUGAAAUGCGUAGAGAUCUGGAGGAAUACCGAUGGCGAAGGCAGCCAUCUGGCCUAAUACUGACGCUGAGGUACGAAAGCAUGGGGAGCAAACAGGAUUAGAUACCCUGGUAGUCCAUGCCGUAAACGAUGUCUACUAGCCGUUGGGGCCUUUGAGGCUUUAGUGGCGCAGCUAACGCGAUAAGUAGACCGCCUGGGGAGUACGGUCGCAAGACUAAAACUCAAAUGAAUUGACGGGGGCCCGCACAAGCGGUGGAGCAUGUGGUUUAAUUCGAUGCAACGCGAAGAACCUUACCUGGCCUUGACAUACUAGAAACUUUCCAGAGAUGGAUUGGUGCCUUCGGGAAUCUAGAUACAGGUGCUGCAUGGCUGUCGUCAGCUCGUGUCGUGAGAUGUUGG